This 253-nucleotide ribosomal RNA is filed under the name uncultured bacterium. RNAcentral describes it as "partial 16S ribosomal RNA". It matches the Rfam family "Bacterial small subunit ribosomal RNA", at positions 524 to 776 of the family's 1533-position model. The record is from RNAcentral.
UACGUAGGGUGCGAGCGUUAAUCGGAAUUACUGGGCGUAAAGCGUGCGCAGGCGGUUCGUUGUGUCGGUGGUGAAAUCCCCGGGCUUAACCUGGGAAUGGCCAUGGAAACUGGCGAACUGGAGUGCGGCAGAGGGGGGUGGAAUUCCGCGUGUAGCAGUGAAAUGCGUAGAGAUGCGGAGGAACACCAGUGGCGAAGGCGACUUUUUGGCCUGUAACUGACGCUGAGGCGCGAAAGCGUGGGGAGCAAACAGG